GACGUAGGAUGCAAGCGUUGUCCGGAAUUAUUGGGCGUAAAGAGUUCGUAGGCGGUUACUUAAGUCUGGUGUUAAAGACGGGAGCUCAACUCCCGCAUGGCAUCGGAAACUGGGUGGCUAGAGUGUGGUAGAGGUCUCGGGAAUUCCAGGUGUAGCGGUGAAAUGCGUAGAUAUCUGGAGGAACACCGGUGGCGAAAGCGCGAGACUGGGCCAUAACUGACGCUGAGGAACGAAAGCCAGGGGAGCGAAAGG
This 252-nucleotide ribosomal RNA is filed under the name uncultured bacterium. RNAcentral's name for it is "partial 16S ribosomal RNA". It matches the Rfam family "Bacterial small subunit ribosomal RNA", at positions 524 to 775 of the family's 1533-position model. The record is from RNAcentral.